GUGACCUCAAAUCAGGUAGGACUACCCGCUGAACUUAAGCAUAUCAAUAAGCGGAGGAAAAGAACUAACAAGGAUUCCCCUAGUAACUGCGAGUGAAGCGGGAAAG
RNAcentral lists this ribosomal RNA (106 nucleotides) under Cortinarius aurantiobasis. RNAcentral describes it as "partial 28S ribosomal RNA". It matches the Rfam family "Eukaryotic large subunit ribosomal RNA", at positions 1 to 106 of the family's 3401-position model. Lineage: Eukaryota; Fungi; Basidiomycota; Agaricomycetes; Agaricales; Cortinariaceae. The record is from RNAcentral.